RNAcentral lists this long non-coding RNA (647 nucleotides) under Olea europaea (common olive). Its description in RNAcentral is "long non-coding RNA (OEUR_LNC012348)". Lineage: Eukaryota; Viridiplantae; Streptophyta; Magnoliopsida; Lamiales; Oleaceae. The record is from RNAcentral.
UUGGUUUGUGUUCCUAUUUCAUUUUAUUUUACAUUUUCAAUUAAAUUUUUUCGCACAUGCAACCGAUUCAAAAAAACUUCGAUGAUUUGCCUGUGAAAUCUGGGGCAAAAUUCAAAAUCAUGAGUUAUAUAUUCGGAGUUAACUCCUUCAACUAGGGCAAAAUUCGCAAAACAUUUCUGUGAAUUGAAGACUCCAUCAAUUUUUGGGGCAAAAUUUAUAGAGACUGUGGUGGGUAUCGGCUCUUUGGACUCCCAGAAUCAAGAUUUCACCAGAACAAAUCCUUCGGGCCUGAAUGAAAGAAGAUGAAAUGGGCGAGGAGAAUCAUCCAAUCGACGAAUGCGACGACGAUGAUGGCAAUGGAUGACAUCGGCGAUAGGGUGGGUUGAAUUGGUUUGGUUUUAGGGCGUGGGUAGUGUGGGUGGAAUUGGUUUGCUGAGCUGGAUUGAGGAAUCUGAUUUGUCACAUUUUAAUUUGUUGUUCUUUUCCAUGUGUGUUUUCUGUCAAACACGUUAGCAUCAAUGGUAACGGAACUUAGUGAUGAACGGGAUGCAUAGUGUAAAAGUUUAGUGGCCAUUUGAAAGCAUGUUGAAAUUCAAUAAGUAAAUCAUGAUCAUGCCUAAAGUUCAGUGAUUAUUGAAACAUUUUAC